This 456-nucleotide ribosomal RNA is filed under the name uncultured bacterium. RNAcentral describes it as "bacterial SSU rRNA". It matches the Rfam family "Bacterial small subunit ribosomal RNA", at positions 32 to 507 of the family's 1533-position model. The record is from RNAcentral.
GAACGACGCUGGCGGCAUGCCUAACACAUGCAAGUCGAACGAGACCUUCGGGUCUAGUGGCGCACGGGUGCGUAACACGUGGGAAUUUGCCUCGGGGUAUGGAAUAACUCAGGGAAACUUGAGCUAAUACCAUAUAAUGUCUUCGGACCAAGAUUUAUCGCCCUGAGAUAAGCCCGCGUAGGAUUAGCUAGUUGGUGAGGUAAAGGCUCACCAAGGCGACGAUCCUUAGCUGGUCUGAGAGGAUGAUCAGCCACACUGGGACUGAGACACGGCCCAGACUCCUACGGGAGGCAGCAGUGGGGAAUUUUGGACAAUGGGCGCAAGCCUGAUCCAGCAAUGCCGCGUGCAGGAUGAAGGCCUUCGGGUUGUAAACUGCUUUGUACGGAACGAAACGGUGAGCUCUAAUACAGUUUGCUAAUGACGGUACCGUAAGAAUAAGCACCGGCUAACUACGUG